AGCAGCUAGACAGCAAGUGUGGGGCCAGCAUGGGCUUCAUGAAGCUCUAUCUCAGCAACGCAAGAAAGAAGAGGAGAGAGAGGAAGGAAAAGUCUCCUGAAACCUAGCCUGUCCUUGAACUUGUUACAUAGUCAAAGAAGACCUUGAGCUCCUGAUUCUACUGCCUCCCCGACACUUCAUCUUAGUGCCAUAAUUGCAGUAAUAUACCACUAGGGUCUCUACAGUGCUGAGUCCAGGUCUUCCUGCAGCCUAGACAAGUGGCUGGCAAUUGAAUUGCACCACCAGCCCCCGUCACCGGCUUAGUUACAUCCAUUCUGGGGAACGGCAAAAGACCAAGAGCAGAUCACUGUCUUCAUGUCUCUUUCCUGUACUAAGCACACGCCUUCUGUGUUCACAUUCUUCACAUUGCACAAGGGACUGUGACGUUCUUCACUUUGACAUCCACAGGAAGAAGAAGACAUGAAGGAGCCAAUACCACUGCAUGCAAGUCAAUAAGAAAGAGGAAGACUCCAUCAAAGGGCACUGUGAGGUAGAGGAAGAUGGUUGCCUGUUAGGCCUGCAGGCUCCCCUCCCCUGGGAGGCACUGGCACUUGAGGGAGGAGUCGUGCUGCUGGCUCAGAGCAAAUGUUCCUUCUAGUGUCACCCUGCACAUGAAAAAGGCCAACCUUCAAGAGAGCUCUGCUUCUGAGAUAUUUCACAAUAGGAUAGAGAUGCCCAAACCCUGGGCCUAGAGACUCUUUUCUACUCUUAUGAAUUGUCAAGAACACUCAAGAGCCCACGUUUAUACUGCCUACAUCAACCCGUGCAAGGACCAUAUUUAGGGGUUAAAACAAAGUAUUUUAAAGUAUUCGUGCAGCCAUCUCUUUCAAUCAAAUCAUGAAUUUGUGACAUGCUAGCAUAAAAAUCAUAAAUGAUAAAAUAACAUAAAUGAUAUUUCUAUUCUGUAACAAGAAGCUGCUCUCAAAACAAAGGAAAAGUAGCUACCGAGAGAGCAAACACGGCCUCCAGUUUUUUUUAAGCCUCUCUAACAUUUGUCAUAAUAAAAGGUAGUUACUUUCUC
Molecule: long non-coding RNA, 1060 nt
Filed under: Mus musculus (house mouse)
Lineage: Eukaryota; Metazoa; Chordata; Mammalia; Rodentia; Muridae
Description: predicted gene, 50035
Source: RNAcentral